Molecule: non-coding RNA, 768 nt
Organism: Marmota flaviventris (yellow-bellied marmot)
Lineage: Eukaryota; Metazoa; Chordata; Mammalia; Rodentia; Sciuridae
Source: RefSeq, a predicted model, not a curated record
UCCCACAAAACCUCAAGAUGAUCCUCUGGCGCGGAGCCGCGUGCCCUUAAAUGCGGCCGUUUGUAUUCACACAGCUUGUAAAUAGGAAGACCAGUCCUGCAGGGUUGUGACCCUGGCUGCGAACAUGCGUGACUGUGGGAUCGAGAGUGAAUGAGACACUGCGAGGAUGGAAGAGUUGUUCUUGUAUUAAGGAGUAUUCAUAGACUCACCAUGUAUUGAAUGCUGGCUGUGUAGCAGGCACAAAUCCUAGGUGCUUGGGAUAUAAGCGUGAACAAGAGACAAACCUCCUGAUAUCAUGGUACUUACGCUGUUGUGGGCCAGAUAAUAAACAAGGAAAGAAUGAGGAAGAAAAUAAUUGAAGAAAAAUGGCUGAGGAUUUUCCAUAAUUGGCGACAGUAAACCAUAGAUCCAAGAAGCUCAGAGAACAACCAGCAGGAUGUAUGCCAAAACAAACAUAUGUCUAGGCAUAUCUUAUUUAAACAGUUGAAAACCAAAGAUAAAGAAGAAAUCUUGAAGCACUUAAUAUCCAAGAUAUGGAAAAAGCCUAAAUAUCCAUAAACAGAUUAAUGGAUAAAGAAAAUGUGGUACACAAGAAGAAUGAAAUUUGAAGAAAUUAUGCUAACGUGAAACAGCCACAGAUAAGUACUGCAUGGUUUCACUUAUUUGAGGUAUGUUAAAUAGUCAAAUUCAUAGAAUCACAGUUGCCAGCCAAACUAUAGAACUAGCCUAGGGGCUGACGACAGGGAAAAUGUGGAGUUAUUAGUGGGC